GACGAACGCUGGCGGCGUGCUUAACACAUGCAAGUCGAACGCUGAAGCUCAGCUUGCUGGGUGGAUGAGUGGCGAACGGGUGAGUAACACGUGAGUAACCUGCCCUCUUCUUUGGGAUAACGCCCGGAAACGGGUGCUAAUACUGGAUAUUCACUGAUUCUCGCAUGGGGGUUGGUGGAAAGGUUUUUUCUGGUGGGGGAUGGGCUCGCGGCCUAUCAGCUUGUUGGUGGGGUGAUGGCCUACCAAGGCUUUGACGGGUAGCCGGCCUGAGAGGGUGACCGGUCACGUUGGGACUGAGAUACGGCCCAGACUCCUACGGGAGGCAGCAGUGGGGAAUAUUGCACAAUGGGCGAAAGCCUGAUGCAGCGACGCCGCGUGAGGGAUGGAGGCCUUCGGGUUGUAAACCUCUUUCGCUCAUGGUCAAGCCACAGCUUUGGGUUGUGGUGAGGGUAGUGGGUAAAGAAGCGCCGGCUAACUACGUG
This 482-nucleotide ribosomal RNA is filed under the name uncultured bacterium. RNAcentral describes it as "partial 16S ribosomal RNA". It matches the Rfam family "Bacterial small subunit ribosomal RNA", at positions 28 to 507 of the family's 1533-position model. The record is from RNAcentral.